RNAcentral lists this ribosomal RNA (666 nucleotides) under uncultured archaeon. Its description in RNAcentral is "bacterial SSU rRNA". It matches the Rfam family "Archaeal small subunit ribosomal RNA", at positions 1 to 655 of the family's 1478-position model. The record is from RNAcentral.
UCCGGUUGAUCCUGCCAGAGGCCGCUGCUAUCCGGCUGGGACUAAGCCAUGCUAGUCUAGGGGCUUGUACUCCUUCGGGGGUGCAAGCACCGGCGGACGGCUCAGUAACACGUGGACAACCUGCCCUCGGGUGGGGGAUAACCCCGGGAAACUGGGGCUAAUCCCCCAUAGGUGAUGGGUGCUGGAAUGCCCCAUCUCCGAAAGCGCUUAGCGCCCGAGGAUGGGUCUGCGGCGGAUUAGGUAGUUGGUGGGGUAACGGCCCACCAAGCCUAAGAUCCGUACGGGCUGUGGGAGCAGGAGCCCGGAGAUGGACCCUGAGACAAGGGUCCAGGCCCUACGGGGCGCAGCAGGCGCGAAACCUCCGCAAUGCGGGAAACCGCGACGGGGUUAGCCGGAGUGCCCGUGCAUUGCACGGGCUGUCGGGGUGCCUAAACAGCACCCCAUAGCAAGGGCCGGGCAAGGCCGGUGGCAGCCGCCGCGGUAAGACCGGCGGCCCGAGUGGCGGCCACUCUUAUUGGGCCUAAAGCGUCCGUAGCCGGCCCAGUAAGUCCCCCGGGAAAUCUGGUCGCUUAACGAUCAGACUUCCGGGGGAUACUGCUGGGCUAGGGACCGGGAGAGGCCGAGGGUAUUCCCGGGGUAGGGGUGAAAUCCUGUAAUCCCGGGAGG